RNAcentral lists this transfer RNA (58 nucleotides) under Nardia succulenta. Its description in RNAcentral is "partial tRNA-Leu". It matches the Rfam family "tRNA", at positions 26 to 71 of the family's 71-position model. From Rfam's summary of the family: Transfer RNA (tRNA) molecules are approximately 80 nucleotides in length. Their secondary structure includes four short double-helical elements and three loops (D, anti-codon, and T loops). The record is from RNAcentral. Lineage: Eukaryota; Viridiplantae; Streptophyta; Jungermanniopsida; Jungermanniales; Gymnomitriaceae.
ACGGACUGAAAAUCCGUUGGCUUUUUAGACCGUGAGGGUUCAAGUCCCUCUACCCCCA